Molecule: ribosomal RNA, 496 nt
Filed under: uncultured bacterium
Lineage: Bacteria
Description: partial 16S ribosomal RNA
Rfam family: Bacterial small subunit ribosomal RNA
Source: RNAcentral
GAUGAACGCUGGCGGCGUGCCUAAUACAUGCAAGUCGAGCGAACAGACGAGGAGCUUGCUCCUCUGACGUUAGCGGCGGACGGGUGAGUAACACGUGGAUAACCUACCUAUAAGACUGGGAUAACUUCGGGAAACCGGAGCUAAUACCGGAUAAUAUAUUGAACCGCAUGGUUCAAUAGUGAAAGACGGUUUUGCUGUCACUUAUAGAUGGAUCCGCGCCGCAUUAGCUAGUUGGUAAGGUAACGGCUUACCAAGGCGACGAUGCGUAGCCGACCUGAGAGGGUGAUCGGCCACACUGGAACUGAGACACGGUCCAGACUCCUACGGGAGGCAGCAGUAGGGAAUCUUCCGCAAUGGGCGAAAGCCUGACGGAGCAACGCCGCGUGAGUGAUGAAGGUCUUCGGAUCGUAAAACUCUGUUAUUAGGGAAGAACAAAUGUGUAAGUACUAUGCACGUCUUGAUGGUACCUAAUCAGAAAGCCACGGCUAACUACGUG